UAGGGAAUCUUCGGCAAUGGACGGAAGUCUGACCGAGCAACGCCGCGUGAGUGAAGAAGGUUUUCGGAUCGUAAAGCUCUGUUGUUAGAGAAGAACGUUGGUAGGAGUGGAAAAUCUACCAAGUGACGGUAACUAACCAGAAAGGGACGGCUAACUACGUGCCAGCAGCCGCGGUAAUACGUAGGUCCCGAGCGUUGUCCGGAUUUAUUGGGCGUAAAGCGAGCGCAGGCGGUUCUUUAAGUCUGAAGUUAAAGGCAGUGGCUUAACCAUUGUACGCUUUGGAAACUGGAGGACUUGAGUGCAGGAAGGGAGAGUGGAAUUCCAUGUGUAGCGGUGAAAUGCGUAAAUAAAUGGAGGAACGCCGGUGGCGAAAGCGGCUCUCUGGUCUGUAACAGACGCUGAGGCUCGAAAGCAUGGGGAGCAAACAGG
RNAcentral lists this ribosomal RNA (429 nucleotides) under Bacillota bacterium. RNAcentral describes it as "Firmicutes bacterium partial 16S ribosomal RNA". It matches the Rfam family "Bacterial small subunit ribosomal RNA", at positions 355 to 776 of the family's 1533-position model. Lineage: Bacteria; Bacillati; Bacillota. The record is from RNAcentral.